Molecule: long non-coding RNA, 1369 nt
Organism: Myotis myotis
Lineage: Eukaryota; Metazoa; Chordata; Mammalia; Chiroptera; Vespertilionidae
Exons: 3
Source: RefSeq, a predicted model, not a curated record
UCCAUCCGUUGGGGAGCAGUUUGGAGGCCAGGAUCAGGCCGGAGGAAGCCACUGAAGUCUGGCGCCUAAGAGCCGCCCCUGCCUAUCCUGAGGCUGGGCUCUCUACUGCGCGGCCCCUUCAGCCCCCAGCUUGAAGCAAGGCCUCCAUAAUGACGUCUCAGCACUGGGCUUUCGGAAAAGAGCCAGGCCGGGUCUGGCCAGGCUCUGCCUAGUAGCAGGAGGCUCUUCUAGCCCAAACCCCACGCGAGGGGCGGCCGUACCCGCGGGUGUCAGUGCCAGCAUGGCGUAGGGGGCGCUGCGGCACACCACCUCCUGCAUGAUGAUGCCCACGCCGAAGACGUCGCCGGCCAGCGUCCCCCUGCGCUCCAGGCCUGGGUCCCGGAGCAGCUCCGGGGCGGUCCACAGCUGGUCUGGGGCCGGGGAAGAAGGCGUGGGCGCGCGGACGGCCUUGGGGGAACUGGGGACAGACACCCCCCCUCCUCCCUUCCCCCAGCCUGAGGCUGGCCCCGCUGGCUGCAGCUUUCACCAGGGGAGACCACCCGCAGGGCGUCUCCGAAAAAGCCCCGCCCUUUGCACCAAGCCCCGCCCCUGGAAGACUCCGCCCCUGGACACAAGUCCCGCCCCGAGAAGACUCCGCCCCGGGCACAAGCCCCGCCCCGAGAAGACUCCGCCCCGGGCACAAGCCCCGCCCUUAGGCUCCGUCCCACUCGGAACAGACCCCGUCGCCAGGACAGGAGGUCCCUCCUCAGGGACGAGUCUGCGCCCCGGAGUCGCCCGUGGCCGUGGUCGGUGACUUUAAGCACAAACCUCCCGUCCACCACGCAGUUCCGGGACUUAAGUCGCCCAUGGGCCACGCCUCGGUGGUGCAGGUACCUCAUUCCCUGGACGGGGUGGGGUGAGAGGCCGCUUCAGCCCCGGCUCCCCUGCCCUGUCUCCCCCGCACCCCUCUUUCUGCACCUCCCGCUCCCCGCACACCUUGAUGAGGUCCAGUAGCAAGGAGGACUUGAACAUCCAGUCCAGCUUGAUGUCUCUCUGGGCGAGGAGGUCGUGCAGGGAGCCCCGGGCGCAGUGCUCCGAGACCACGGCCAGCAUGCCCUCCCCGGGGGCCGCGGCGCUGUCCGUUCCCCCCGCCAGGAAGAGCCCCAGCCAUCAGACUUGGAACGGUCCAUGUCUCAAGGAGAAACACCUCAUGAAGGAGAAGCCACCGGCACCACCACCCACCCCUUCUGAUGUAACAGCCUUUGAGGGAAGAACCAGGGAGAAGCUGCACUGCUUUCAAAAAAACAACAGAAAUGGCCCUAGCUGGUUUGGCCCAGUGGAUACAGCGUCAGUCUGCAGACCAAAGGGUCCUGGCAUUGAUUCUGGCCAA